This 409-nucleotide ribosomal RNA is filed under the name Actinomycetes bacterium. RNAcentral's name for it is "Actinobacteria bacterium partial 16S ribosomal RNA". It matches the Rfam family "Bacterial small subunit ribosomal RNA", at positions 355 to 776 of the family's 1533-position model. The record is from RNAcentral. Lineage: Bacteria; Bacillati; Actinomycetota; Actinomycetes.
UGGGGAAUAUUGCACAAUGGGCGGAAGCCUGAUGCAGCGACGCCGCGUGGGGGAUGAAGGCCUUCGGGUUGUAAACUCCUUUCGACAGGGACGAAGCUUUUGUGACGGUACCUGUAUAAGAAGCACCGGCUAACUACGUGCCAGCAGCCGCGGUAAUACGUAGGGUGCGAGCGUUGUCCGGAAUUACUGGGCGUAAAGAGCUCGUAGGUGGUUUGUCGCGUCGUCUGUGAAAUUCCGGGGCUUAACUCCGGGCGUGCAGGCGAUACGGGCUGACUUGAGUGCUGUAGGGGAGACUGGAAUUCCUGGUGUAGCGGUGAAAUGCGCAGAUAUCAGGAGGAACACCGAGGGCGAAGGCAGGUCUCUGGGCAGUAACUGACGCUGAGGAGCGAAAGCAUGGGUAGCGAACAGG